This 69-nucleotide transfer RNA is filed under the name Ictidomys tridecemlineatus (thirteen-lined ground squirrel). Its description in RNAcentral is "Spermophilus tridecemlineatus (thirteen-lined ground squirrel) tRNA". It matches the Rfam family "tRNA". Rfam says of the family: Transfer RNA (tRNA) molecules are approximately 80 nucleotides in length. Their secondary structure includes four short double-helical elements and three loops (D, anti-codon, and T loops). The record is from Rfam by way of RNAcentral. Lineage: Eukaryota; Metazoa; Chordata; Mammalia; Rodentia; Sciuridae.
GGGGUUAUGGCUCAGUGAUAGAGUACUUGCCUAGCAUGCAUGAGGCACUGAGUCCGAGCCUCAGCUCCA